Long non-coding RNA from Arachis duranensis, 1036 nucleotides. RefSeq lists it as uncharacterized. The transcript is spliced from 3 exons. The record is from RefSeq and is a predicted model, not a curated record. Lineage: Eukaryota; Viridiplantae; Streptophyta; Magnoliopsida; Fabales; Fabaceae.
UGUGACCACACUGAACUUGAGAGUUCAAUCUUGUAAUUGUUACUCAUUUUGCUUCAAUUUUAAUCCCUAUUUGUAUUUCUAUUUUCUUCUUUCAUCAUAAUAUUCCUUUGAAUCUCCAGAAUGCUCGAAUUGUGCUUGAUGAAUAUCAAGUUGUGAGACACUUUUCAGAUUCUAUAGCUCCUGUUGGAAUCCUUCAUCCCUUGGAAUUUUCAUUUGGAAAAGAAGGUAGAUAUUCAAUCUUUAAUAUCACCAGAGAACAUAAGUGAAACUUCAGUUCAGAAACUGGGAACUGUGUUUGAAGUGGAAGACACUUUAGAAAGAUGUGAAGACACAUUUAAGCCGUUGGAUUGCAGUGCUGACCCAAUUGAUGACCUAGCACAUAAAUUUAACAUCUCAAGAACAAAUAACAAGAGAACACUCUCCUUAAGUUGCUAGUUACAAGAUUCAUGCAACGAUUUGCGGGAAGAUUUGAUGACUGUUUUGGCAAAAAUUGAAUCACUAUUAGCUGGCUUUGGCUUUGGGUGGGAUAAUGUUGUCUAUGUUGCAGAUAAAUGUGACGUUUACUCCUUUGGUAUGGUUCUACUUGUAAUGGUAUGCAUGAAGGAGAAGGAUUUGUUUCUUAAUAAGGCCAACAUGUUUGGUAACCAACAUUUGGAGGGGAAGAGUGAAAUCAAAUACUUAGAGAAGUUCAUUGAUGAUCAAGUUCAACCAUGGAAUGUAGUAGCCUUUAUGUAGCGAUUCCCAAUCGAAGAGAUCAUUGAUCCAACCCUUAGGGGAAAGAUUGCACCAGAGUGCUAGGAAGUAUUCAUGGAUGUUACACAAAGAUGCUUGAAGCAUGAACCUGAUGGCUUUAUUUUCAACUAUAAAAUUACUUUUGGGAUAAAUUAGAAGACAACUACAGAUGGUGUAGGUUCUUAUUUUUAUUACACUGAGAAAAGCUCAGUAUUUGAUUAAUGGCCUGAGUCAAUACACUUUGUUGAUGUAUGGUCGUUACUUAUUAUAGUUGAUAUAUCAAUACACUUUGUUUCUGUUUUGA